Molecule: non-coding RNA, 78 nt
Filed under: pig gut metagenome
Description: TPP riboswitch (THI element)
Rfam family: TPP riboswitch aptamer (THI element) (bases 1-69)
About the family: Vitamin B(1) in its active form thiamin pyrophosphate (TPP) is an essential coenzyme that is synthesised by coupling of pyrimidine and thiazole moieties in bacteria. The previously detected thiamin-regulatory element, thi box was extended, resulting in a new, highly conserved RNA secondary structure, the THI element, which is widely distributed in eubacteria and also occurs in some archaea.
Source: RNAcentral
CAAAGGGGUGCCGAAUGGCUGAGAUUAUACCCUAUGAACCUGAACCGGAUAAUGCCGGCGUAGGGAUUGUUCAUAUCG